CGCGGGAUAGCUCAGCUGGCAGAGCGCGGGCCUCAUACGCCCGAGGUCGGUGGAUCAUUCCCACCUCCCGCAACCA
RNAcentral lists this transfer RNA (76 nucleotides) under Hydrogenophaga sp. RNAcentral's name for it is "tRNA-Met". It matches the Rfam family "tRNA". From Rfam's summary of the family: Transfer RNA (tRNA) molecules are approximately 80 nucleotides in length. Lineage: Bacteria; Pseudomonadati; Pseudomonadota; Betaproteobacteria; Burkholderiales; Comamonadaceae. The record is from RNAcentral.